UCGAUCAGAGAAAGGGAAAACAAGGGGAACCCUUGUUCUUGCUAAAUUCAGUCAAUUGACAAAGGAUUUCAAAGAUAAUCAGUUGCAUGACUCUAAUUUUCGAUCAUCCAAACAUACAUAGUGAAGUGGCGUGAAAGAAGAAGGCUCAAACACUAAGAAAACGGGAGACUCACAAGAUCGAGUUGAAUUAAGUAUGGAUGGCAAACGGAGUAAGAGGAAGCAAUGAGGCAAGCAUGAACGUGAACACUAAAGGCGUGAAAGAAAAAUGCUCAAACACUAAGAAAACGGGAGACUCACAAGAUCGAGGUAAAUCCUCACUUUAGGCGACGUGGCAAUUUGGAGCGAGCACAUGCACACAUUAUGACCAUCAAGCGCUUUUGUUAUUUCGUGUUAAUGUUUUGGGUCAAAAUGGUUGUUUUUGUUUAACCUUGUUAGUCGUUGCACUUUUUAACACUUGAUGUCGUGGUUUUUAGUCAUGUCUAGGUGAACGGGUCAUAGACUUAUUUGUCUUGAUGAUGGUUAAAACAGGGAUAUGCUCGUCUUAUAGACGGGUCAUGCCCAAAUUUUGUUAAAAUUAUGCACUAAUGAUAUUAGUAUCGUUACCUCAA
Molecule: long non-coding RNA, 608 nt
Organism: Helianthus annuus (common sunflower)
Lineage: Eukaryota; Viridiplantae; Streptophyta; Magnoliopsida; Asterales; Asteraceae
Exons: 5
Source: RefSeq, a predicted model, not a curated record